AACCCAAAGGACUUGACGGUGUCUUAACCCUACUAGAGGAGCCUGUUCAGUAAUCGACGAUACCCGCUAAACCUCACCAUUUCUCGCUUUUCAGCUAGUAUACUUCCGUCGCAAGCUUACCAUGUGAAUGAACACAUAGUCGGUUCAAGGAUCUUUCCCACCACUACGUCAGGUCAAGGUGCAGCAAAAGAAAUGGGCUAGGAUGGGCUACAAUUUCUAAUAUAGAACAAACGAAUUACUGCUAUGCAAAAGCAGUUAUGAAGGUGGAUUUAGUAGUAAAAAAGAAAUAAUGUGUCUUUUUUAAAAACGGUAAUUAGAUGCGUACAAACCGCCCGUCACCCUCUUCAAAAG
This 351-nucleotide ribosomal RNA is filed under the name Occidozyga lima. RNAcentral's name for it is "partial 12S ribosomal RNA". It matches the Rfam family "Bacterial small subunit ribosomal RNA", at positions 898 to 1412 of the family's 1533-position model. Lineage: Eukaryota; Metazoa; Chordata; Amphibia; Anura; Dicroglossidae. The record is from RNAcentral.